CAGCCGCCGCGGUAAUACAGAGGGUGCGAGCGUUAAUCGGAUUUACUGGGCGUAAAGCGUGCGUAGGCGGCUUCUUAAGUCGGAUGUGAAAUCCCUGAGCUUAACUUAGGAAUUGCAUUCGAUACUGGGAAGCUAGAGUAUGGGAGAGGAUGGUAGAAUUCCAGGUGUAGCGGUGAAAUGCGUAGAGAUCUGGAGGAAUACCGAUGGCGAAGGCAGCCAUCUGGCCUAAUACUGACGCUGAGGUAAGAAAGCAUGGGGAGCAAACAGGAUUAGAUACCCCCGUAGUCCCUGUCUCUUAUAC
This 301-nucleotide ribosomal RNA is filed under the name uncultured bacterium. RNAcentral's name for it is "partial 16S ribosomal RNA". It matches the Rfam family "Bacterial small subunit ribosomal RNA", at positions 509 to 807 of the family's 1533-position model. The record is from RNAcentral.